RNA transcript from Hevea brasiliensis (rubber tree), 2220 nucleotides. It is a transcript of the gene named protein NUCLEAR FUSION DEFECTIVE 4, with no coding region annotated. The record is from RefSeq and is a predicted model, not a curated record. The transcript has 3 exons. NCBI's taxonomy places the organism in Eukaryota, Viridiplantae, Streptophyta, Magnoliopsida, Malpighiales, Euphorbiaceae.
UUUAUAUAAAAAAUUAAAGUAAACCGUUUAACGAAACAUAUCCUACAGCUCAGAGUCAGAGCGCCAAAAGGACGGAGAGAUGGACAGAGAAAUACUAAAAUCGAAAUGGAUAGCCACAGUUGCCAGCAUAUGGAUCCAGUGCAGCUGCGGUGCAUCCUACACCUUUGGCAUCUACUCUUCCAUCCUCAAGUCCACCCAAGGUUACGACCAAUCAACCCUCGACACCGUCUCUGUCUUCAAGGAUAUCGGAGCCAACGCCGGUGUCCUCUCUGGCCUUCUCUAUUCCGCCGUCACCCUCCACCGCAACCACCGCCGUCUCGGAUUCUUUAGCGGGCCAUGGCUGGUCCAUGCGGCGGGGGCGAUCCAAUGUUUCAUUGGGUAUUUCGUGAUUUGGGCUUCCGUGAAUGGGUUGAUUCCCCGGCUGCCGGUGCCGCUUAUGUGUUUGUUCAUGUGGGUGGCGGCUCACGCGCAGACGUUCUUCAACACCUCGAACGUCGUGAGCGGCGUCCACAAUUUCGGUGACUAUGGUGGGACCAUUGUUGGCAUAAUGAAGGGCUUUCUUGGUUUGAGUGGAGCAAUACUAAUCCAAUUUUAUGAGACAGCAUGCAAGGGUAACCCAAGUACUUACAUUCUACUACUUGCACUGACACCAACGUUGGUCUCUCUGUUGCUUAUGAAUUUGGUAAGAAACUAUGACACAAACACAAAAGAUGACAAGAAGCACUUGAAUGCUUUCUCAGCAGUUGCUCUGAUCAUUGCUGCUUAUCUUACAAUCAACAUUUUUUUGGAGAACAUCCUUGCUUUGCCAUUAUGGUCACGCAUGAUUACAUUUGCAGUCUUGCUGUUUCUUCUUGCCUCUCCUCUUGGAAUUGCAGUCAGAGCUCAGAGGGAGAACUCUGAUAGAUUUGCACAAGCAUUAUUGGAAGAGAGGGGUUACAAACCAAAGCCAAAAGUAUAUUCUGAGUUUUCUACAGCAGAGAAUCCUACAGAUUAUCGUGCAUUGCCUAGUGGUGAGGGUCAAGCAAAGGCUUCUACUGGUGACAGAAAUCCGUCAGAUGAAGAAGACCUGAAUCUCUUGCAAGCCUUGGGAACUGUAAACUUCUGGUUGUUGUUUAUUGCUACGAUUUGUGGAUUAGGAUCUGGGCUCGCUACAGUAAAUAACAUCAGUCAAGUAGGAGAAUCCCUUGGUUACACAACCAUUGAAACAAAUUCUUUAGUUUCAUUGUGGAGUAUAUGGAAUUUUCUUGGCCGUUUUGGAGCUGGGUUUGUGUCAGAUAUUUUCUUGCACAGAGGUGGCUGGGCAAGGCCUUUAUUCAUGGUUAUCACUUUAUCAACUUUGGCCAUCGGCCAUAUGGUUAUUGCCUCAGGUUUUACUAAAUGUUUGUACCUGGGUUCAUUCCUUGUGGGGGUUUCUUAUGGUUCACAAUGGUCAUUGAUGCCUACAAUCUGUUCUGAAAUAUUUGGUGUGGGACACAUGGGUACUAUAUUCAACACCAUUGCCAUAGCAAGUCCUCUUGGAUCAUAUAUUUUCUCUGUAAGAGUGAUCGGGUACAUUUAUGAUAAGGCAUCAACCAGUGAAGAUAACACGUGCUUUGGAACUCACUGCUUCAUGCUGUCUUUUCUAAUCAUGGCAUCUGUUACUUUCUUUGGGGUUCUUGUUGCUCUUGCAUUGUUCUUUAGGACAAGGAGGUUCUAUCAGGUGGUUGUGCUUAGACGGGUACAACAUUCUUAGAGAACAUGAUGCGGGAGAGUUUGUAUUAAUUCAGGGAGAAUGUGCUCCGCUUUUAUUGGCUGGCUGCUACUGCAACUGGUGGAGGUCUUGAUGGACCAGUGGUGCACAUGCUUGGAGCAAUCCAGUGCUUAGCUGCCAGCCUACCAGUCUACCACUGUACUUGGAAUUCUUGUUGCUACUGUAUUGUUCUUACGAGCAAAGAGUUUCUAUAAGCUGGUUGUGCUAAAAAGAUCACAGAGUUUCUAUACUAUUAGAGGACUGGUUGGACAUGUUUUUAUAAUAAUUGCAAUUGACUGAGCCUGUCUUGUUCUUUAUCUAUAGCAGUCCUGUCUGUUACGAUACAUUUGCUCCAGUUUCUACAUAACGUAUGGAAAAGGAGGCAAGAAAGAUUUGUUUUAAUAUAGCAGAGAGCUUUAAUUAGGGCCUAUAUUUGAGAGCACUUUUAAUGAUUUAAAUUAGCUGUUGAUAAAGCUAGGUUAUUUUCUUCA